Molecule: ribosomal RNA, 433 nt
Filed under: uncultured bacterium
Lineage: Bacteria
Description: partial 16S ribosomal RNA
Rfam family: Bacterial small subunit ribosomal RNA
Source: RNAcentral
AACGAACGCUGGCGGCAUGCCUAACACAUGCAAGUCGAACGAGACCUUCGGGUCUAGUGGCGCACGGGUGCGUAACGCGUGGGAAUCUGCCUUUGGGUUCGGAAUAACAGUUGGAAACGACUGCUAAUACCGGAUGAUGACGUAAGUCCAAAGAUUUAUCGCCCAGGGAUGAGCCCGCGUAGGAUUAGCUAGUUGGUGGGGUAAAGGCCUACCAAGGCGACGAUCCUUAGCUGGUCUGAGAGGAUGAUCAGCCACACUGGGACUGAGACACGGCCCAGACUCCUACGGGAGGCAGCAGUGGGGGAUAUUGGACAGUGGGCGGAAGCAUGAUCCAGCAAUGCCGCGUGAGUGAUGAAGGCCUUAGGGUUGUAAAGCUCUUUUACCCGGGAUGAUAAUGACAGUACCGGGAGAAUAAGCCCCGGCUAACUCCGUG